UACGUAGGGUGCGAGCGUUGUCCGGAAUUACUGGGCGUAAAGAGCUCGUAGGUGGUUUGUCACGUUGUCCGUGAAAACUCACAACUCAAUUGUGGGCGUGCGGGCGAUACGGGCAGACUGGAGUACUGCAGGGGAGACUGGAAUUCCUGGUGUAGCGGUGGAAUGCGCAGAUAUCAGGAGGAACACCGGUGGCGAAGGCGGGUCUCUGGGCAGUAACUGACGCUGAGGAGCGAAAGCGUGGGGAGCGAACAGG
RNAcentral lists this ribosomal RNA (253 nucleotides) under uncultured bacterium. Its description in RNAcentral is "partial 16S ribosomal RNA". It matches the Rfam family "Bacterial small subunit ribosomal RNA", at positions 524 to 776 of the family's 1533-position model. The record is from RNAcentral.